CCCAGCCCACCCACCCCUCGCCCCUCGCUUUGAUCCCAAGGUACCGCGCGGUUCCCGGCCAGUUCAUGAUUUUGGCUUCUGCGGGCUCUGAUCAGUGAAUAUAUUUCUGCUUGUAAGAGGGUGUUUGGUUGGACGGUAAACUUGCUGCACAAUUGGACCUCGUUACAUGCAGUGAAACAAAUUACCACAUCACUGUUUACGGGUCUCCUUUGACUGCAGAAGCUGAAUAUCACUCCCUCUGUUCAUAAAUAAGUGAUGUGCAAAGAGGUGAUUUGUUUCUUGGAAUUUGGAAGAGGAAGACGAUGAAGCAUUCUGGUUGUACUUCAUAGCUAGUUUCAUUGUAUUUUGUACUGGUCUGGU
Long non-coding RNA from Triticum dicoccoides, 360 nucleotides. RefSeq lists it as uncharacterized. NCBI's taxonomy places the organism in Eukaryota, Viridiplantae, Streptophyta, Magnoliopsida, Poales, Poaceae. The record is from RefSeq and is a predicted model, not a curated record. The transcript has 3 exons.